RNAcentral lists this ribosomal RNA (392 nucleotides) under Hafnia sp. VA25. Its description in RNAcentral is "bacterial SSU rRNA". It matches the Rfam family "Bacterial small subunit ribosomal RNA", at positions 966 to 1357 of the family's 1533-position model. The record is from RNAcentral. Lineage: Bacteria; Pseudomonadati; Pseudomonadota; Gammaproteobacteria; Enterobacterales; Hafniaceae.
GAACCUUACCUACUCUUGACAUCCAGAGAAUUCGCUAGAGAUAGCUUAGUGCCUUCGGGAACUCUGAGACAGGUGCUGCAUGGCUGUCGUCAGCUCGUGUUGUGAAAUGUUGGGUUAAGUCCCGCAACGAGCGCAACCCUUAUCCUUUGUUGCCAGCGAGUAAUGUCGGGAACUCAAAGGAGACUGCCGGUGAUAAACCGGAGGAAGGUGGGGAUGACGUCAAGUCAUCAUGGCCCUUACGAGUAGGGCUACACACGUGCUACAAUGGCAUAUACAAAGAGAAGCGAACUCGCGAGAGCAAGCGGACCUCAUAAAGUAUGUCGUAGUCCGGAUUGGAGUCUGCAACUCGACUCCAUGAAGUCGGAAUCGCUAGUAAUCGUAGAUCAGAAUGC